RNAcentral lists this ribosomal RNA (795 nucleotides) under uncultured bacterium. Its description in RNAcentral is "bacterial SSU rRNA". It matches the Rfam family "Bacterial small subunit ribosomal RNA", at positions 8 to 796 of the family's 1533-position model. The record is from RNAcentral.
AGAGUUUGAUCAUGGCUCAGAUUGAACGCUGGCGGCAGGCCUAACACAUGCAAGUCGAGCGGCAGCACGGGUACUUGUACCUGGUGGCGAGCGGCGGACGGGUGAGUAAUGCCUAGGAAUCUGCCUGGUAGUGGGGGAUAACGCUCGGAAACGGACGCUAAUACCGCAUACGUCCUACGGGAGAAAGCAGGGGACCUUCGGGCCUUGCGCUAUCAGAUGAGCCUAGGUCGGAUUAGCUAGUUGGUGAGGUAAUGGCUCACCAAGGCGACGAUCCGUAACUGGUCUGAGAGGAUGAUCAGUCACACUGGAACUGAGACACGGUCCAGACUCCUACGGGAGGCAGCAGUGGGGAAUAUUGGACAAUGGGCGAAAGCCUGAUCCAGCCAUGCCGCGUGUGUGAAGAAGGUCUUCGGAUUGUAAAGCACUUUAAGUUGGGAGGAAGGGCAUUUACCUAAUACGUAAGUGUUUUGACGUUACCGACAGAAUAAGCACCGGCUAACUCUGUGCCAGCAGCCGCGGUAAUACAGAGGGUGCAAGCGUUAAUCGGAAUUACUGGGCGUAAAGCGCGCGUAGGUGGUUUGUUAAGUUGGAUGUGAAAUCCCCGGGCUCAACCUGGGAACUGCAUUCAAAACUGACAAGCUAGAGUAUGGUAGAGGGUGGUGGAAUUUCCUGUGUAGCGGUGAAAUGCGUAGAUAUAGGAAGGAACACCAGUGGCGAAGGCGACCACCUGGACUGAUACUGACACUGAGGUGCGAAAGCGUGGGGAGCAAACAGGAUUAGAUACCCUAGUAGUCC